This 7850-nucleotide long non-coding RNA is filed under the name Phoenix dactylifera (date palm). RNAcentral describes it as "long non-coding RNA (PDAC_LNC000083)". The record is from RNAcentral. Lineage: Eukaryota; Viridiplantae; Streptophyta; Magnoliopsida; Arecales; Arecaceae.
AUAUACUGGAAGAAGUUUGAGAACCAGUAUCACUUCUCUUGCCAGUUCACAGCUGAUUUAAUUGCAAUGAACCAUGCGGACUUCAUCAUCACGAGUACCUUCCAAGAGAUUGCUGGAAGGUUGCUGUUCAUGCCGAUAGUGUCUUAAUGCACUAAUUUUUCGUUCAUAUUAAGAUGCAAAAAAUGCUACCGUUACCUGACUGGUUUCUUUUUAUGUUCUUCUGUUAUUUCAGCAAGGAUACUGUGGGACAGUAUGAAUCUCACACUGCCUUCACUCUUCCUGGGCUCUACCGCGUCGUGCAUGGGAUUGAUGUCUUUGAUCCAAAAUUCAAUAUCGUAUCCCCUGGAGCUGACAUGUCCAUCUACUUCCCGGCCACAGAGCAGCACAAGAGGCUCACCUCCCUCCAUCCAGAGAUCGAGGAGUUGCUUUACAGUUCUGUCGAGAAUUCUGACCACAAGUGAGAGCGUGUCUGCAUUACCUGCAUGUCUUUCCGUAUGUUAUUGUUCAAUUUAGUUAUUGACUCUUGAGGUUCUUGCAGGUUUGUUUUGAAGGACAGAAACAAACCCGUUAUAUUCUCCAUGGCAAGGCUGGACCGAGUGAAGAACAUUACCGGUCUAGUUGAGUUGUACGGCAGGAAUCCUCGUCUGAGGGAAUUGGUUAACCUUGUAGUGGUGGCUGGAGACCAUGGAAAAGAAUCCAAAGAUCUUGAAGAGCAAGCAGAGAUGAAGAAGAUGUACAGUCUCAUCGAACAGUACAAAUUGGCUGGUCACAUCCGAUGGAUCUCUGCUCAGAUGAACCGUGUUCGCAAUGGUGAGCUCUAUCGGUACAUUUGUGAUACCAAGGGAGCUUUCGUGCAGGUAUUCUUCAUCUUCUUAAAAGUAAAAAAAGAACAUGAUUGAUUUGUUCGCAUUUGAUAUAAUAUUUCUCACUCUUUCUCUGUUUUCUUUUGUUUAGCCCGCCUUCUAUGAAGCUUUUGGGCUCACUGUUGUUGAAUCCAUGACAUGUGGACUGCCCACAUUUGCGACUUGCUAUGGAGGGCCUGCCGAGAUCAUAGUGCAUGGGGUGUCUGGCUUCCACAUUGAUCCUUAUCAGGGGGACAAAGCAUCUGAACUGCUCGUAGAUUUCUUCGAGAAGUGCAAGGAAGACCCGAACCACUGGAACAAAAUCUCGCUAGGAGGGUUGCAGCGUAUUGAAGAGAAGUAAACAUGAUAUUUUCUUCGAACAACACUCUUUCAUGAAUUGAAGGAGCUUGUAUGGAAGAUUCAAGACUUAAAAUCUUUUUAUUUUGUGCUCUUCUUGGAAUUAAUGCAGGUACACUUGGAAGCUCUAUUCCGAGAGGUUGAUGACCUUAUCCGGUGUUUAUGGCUUCUGGAAGUACGUCUCAAACCUGGAUAGGCGUGAGACCCGUCGUUACCUCGAGAUGUUCUAUGCCCUCAAGUACCGUAACUUGGUAAGUCAGAUUCAUUGAUGGGUCUACUUGUUGCUUGAGAGACCUGAUGCGUUUCCUUCUCACCGCUGGUCUGCUUUGUUUCAAUGUCUAAUUUCAGGCAAAGUCUGUUCCUCUGCAUGUUGAUGGAGAUAUUGCAGCCAAUGGCACUAAGUAGUCUGGAUGGGAGGCAAGCACGAGUUCUGUUGUCAGCUUUUUUUGAUUUAAGAGAUUUAGGAGUAACUUUGCUUUCUGAGUUCUUGUUUGCGCCAUUGUUGCUUAGAGCUGAUUUUGGAGCAAUUUGAGAGUGUUUGCUGUUGCUUUUUAAUUUCCAUGUUAUGUAAGGCUUAACUGCCUUUUGUUAUUUAAUAAAAUAAGUAAUAUUUUCUUUCUCAAAAAUUUGAAAAAUUGGAUAAAAAAGUAUGCUACUCAACUUUUGAUGCAUCAUGAGUAUUGUGCAUGGUGACAAGAAUUUCUAGUCUCUGUACAAUUGGGACAACAUUUUGUGAUGCUUGGUUCAUGUCCAAGUUAUGUCGUUUCCGAUUGAUUAGCUGGUGGAAGGUUUGCAGUGGUGUAGGUUGCAUCGUACCUUAGAGAGAAAUGGAGUAUGCAAAAAAAAUUACCAGUUUCUAGAGGUACUCUAGGGAAGUGAAAGGCCAUCUUUUCUUUUUACUAGAUGUUAGAAUCUUCUGGGGUAUUGCCUGUUGGAUUUUGUCUGCAAUAUUUUGCAAUUAGCCAUGCGCGCCCCACCUCGCCCCGCUGGAAAAAAAAAAGAGAAUCUUUCUUGCUUUUAAGAAAGUUGCUCCACCGUUCAACUUCCUCUGUGAUUUGUCUUGCUUGACUUCAUUGGCAUCAAAGCAUAGUAUCUUUUCUCCUUUUCUUUUCCCUCCCAAUUCUGUAAAGACUGCUUAAAUAUCAUAUCUCAUGGACACAAAGUUUAGAAUGCUUUUGGGAAAUAGAUGAGAAAAUUGUGCAGUAAGUGUUGCUUUUGCACUUGGGUCAAACGUCUACAACGCCUGAACUGAUCACGUUGGUGGCACCAAGUGCAUUUUUUCUUUCUGAAAAUUCUUUUCAAGUUUCUGUAAAUAAUUAGGAGUAAACUGAUUCUUCUCUUUAUAUGUUUCCUUGGCAUGGUGUAAAACAAAGCUGCCUGUUAUGGUAAACUAGUUUGUUCUGUUCUCUAUUAUAUAGAUUUCCUUAUGAGAGUUUUUGGCGAUACUUCCAUGUUUAACUUGAUUCAGUCCAUUGUAGGUUGGGUUGGAUUGCCAGUUUAAUAAAAUGGUGAGAUUUGUGUCCAAAUAUUUGACCCAUUUAAUAGACAAGUCAGGUUCGGAAUAACAAAUUUUUGAUCUAACCUGUAUCUGACCUGACCCAUAUCUCGCCCGACCCGAUCCAGUUAUCACCUAAAAUAUCCAUCAUAACUCAGGACGUCAUCCAAAAAGGCUAGUCAUAAUAUAUUAUUUGGAUUUUUUAGUUCUGUAUAAGUAUUCAAGAUCUAUCCAGAUGUAGGACUAAACACAUGUCCACACAAAUUCGCACAUAUUCUUCUGGUUCAAGUCCUGGCGUCCUUCUCAAUUAACAGUCUAAAUUAAUUCAAUUCUAAUCACAAGCACCACAAUACAAUAUAGAUAUGUGCUGCAGUUUCUUCUAGUCUACAUAGGCUAUGGCCAGGAUUUACUCUGAUACCAUUUGUCAUAACUCAUGACCUUACUUAAAAAGCUAGCCAGUAUAUUAUUCGAAUUUUUUGGUCCUGUUUAAGUACCAAAGAUCUACCUAGUGCAUAGCCGAUUUGGGACUAAACACAUGCCCCUCACAAUAUCAGUCUUUCUUUUAUCUGAGGUUACUGUUCUCGGCUUUCCUACAUGACCACCCUUUUCUCAUUAGAUAAGCAUACAAUCUCUCUGAUUUUCUCUAUUAUCCUAUGGAGAAAAUAGUUUAAAGAACUUCAGUUUUGUUUUUUAUGUCCUUGAAUCCUUUUCCAAUAGCUUCGAAGACUCCAGAGAACUUUAGCUUUUAGUCUGGAAGCAUUCACUUCCCUGCCUAAUGUAUCAUAACCAUUUAGCGUUGGAGAAAGAGCUCUGUGUUCAGAAAAGUCGACACCUGCCACCCCCUUUUUCCCCACCGACUGGUUUUUUCUGUAACCAACUUCUCAGUAUUGAUAUUGACUCAGAAAAACGUUACCUCUUAGAAAUUAAUGAGUAACGCACAUAUUGAUGGUUGUUUUAAGUUUCAGUUCUUUUCAACUGAUGCACUGUCGCUUGUCAGUUCUAGCAGAGAAGAAACUAAAAAAAAUGUUGUUAACAAAUUUGUAGUUCCCUUGAUUGUAUCUCUAUAUAUAGGUACUCUUCUCAGUUUUGACUGUCACACUCUCAUCCACCUCUAUUCUCUAAGAUCUGCAACUUCUCUGCUUGUAGGAUCUUAAGCUCUAGGUGAGCAGACUCUGAAGUUUUUUCUCUGAAAAUUUUCCUUUUAAUUUGUUUAAAUCCUUGGCUUUGUUUGAUUCUUGAUUAUUUUGGGUUGCUCUUAUCUAAUUCCUAAGAUAAUCAUCUAAUUUACAGAAGUCGUCUUUUAUCUGUUUAUCAUCUAUUAUCUGAUUAUUUAUUUGCAUGGAUAAUGGUCAAAUUUUAAAUUUGCUGUGUUUGAUGCUUUCACGUCAAAAAUCUAGUGCAAGGGGCGUGUGAUUCAGGAGAGAGUUUUGGGUGAUUUUUUGCAUGGUAAAUUUCAUUCAGUGGUUUCUAAAAUGUUCAGUUGCUCUCUUCUUUUUUGUUUUCAUUGAAGUCUGAGGCUUUUUGAGGCUUGAAGGAGGAAAGAAGAGAAGCCAUGGCCAACUUUGCAUUGAAUCAAAUCUACAGUGUUCGGGAGCUCCUUGGUGAUUCUCUUUCUGCCCAUCCAAAUGAACUGGUUGCCCUUUUCUCAAGGUUUUGACUCUGUUUCUGUAAUGUAACUCUUGUGAAAAUUUUCAGAUAGAAACUGAUCCUUUAAUAACUUGUUUCAAGCUAUAUGGAUUAGAACUAGCCUUCUUUGAUUGGUACAUUGGUUGUUCUUGUUACGAUACCAAGCACCUUUGACUCAUAGUCCAGUUCUCUUUUUCCACAUGAAGAAUGCAAUUGAUCAUUUAUAGCCUGGACUGCCCUUCUCGUUUAGUUAUAACCUUCUUGAUUACUCAAUUUCAUCAAUAGGUUUUUUUUUUUUUCCACACAGGUUUUGUUGCACCAAGCACUGUAUGUGAUUUGAUUCAUAUAUCAUGAGCAUUGAUGACGAAAGAUAUCUUUUUUUUUUAUAUAAAUUUAUUCACAGGCUUGUUAGCCAGGGAAAGGGAGUGCUGCAAUCCCAUCAGUUGUUAGCUGAGUAUGAAGCUGUAAUACUUGAAGCAGAUAGAGAAAAGCUGAAGGAGGGGUUCUUUGAGGAUGUUCUACAACAUGCACAGGUUCUGUACAGUGAAGACCUGCGCCAUGUUAUGUUCUAACUUCCAAGUUGUUGAUAGUUCCAUGGUGCAUUGGUUUGUGAUACAGGAAGCAAUUGUGAUACCUCCGUGGGUUGCUCUUGCUAUUCGCCUGAGGCCUGGAGUCUGGGAGUAUGUACGGGUUAUUGUGAGUGAGCUUGCUGUGGAAGAGUUGAGUGUGCCAGAGUACUUGAAGUUCAAGGAAGAACUUGUGGAUGGAAGGUAGGUCAUAUUGUUCUAACAUUAUCAUGUUCCUUGUUCACUCUGUCACAUAUAGCCAAGUAGCCUCUCUCUCUCUCUCUCUCUCUAUACAUCUCUCGUAGGGUAAAGUUACUCUUUCCUUUUCUUCCUUUUCAGUACGACCNNNNNNNNNNNNNNNNNNNNUCCUCUCUCUCUCUCUCUCUCUAUACAUCUCUCUGGGAAAGUUACUCUUCCUUUUCUCCUUUUCAGUAGCCAAAGUAGCUUCACCCUGGAGUUGGACUUCGAACCCUUCAAUGCUUCUUUUCCUCGUCCCUCAUUGUUGAAAUCCAUCGGCAAUGGAGUGCAGUUCCUUAAUCGUCAUCUUUCCUCAAAGUUGUUCCAAGACAAAGAAAGCAUGUAUCCACUGCUGAAUUUCCUCAGGGCAUGUAACUAUAAAGGGAUGGUAAAUUUUUCACUAUAACUGCAUGAUUCAUUCAUCUAUGAUAUCUUAUUUUCCUAAAAUAGAAUGAACAAAUCUCUCCUCUUUGAUUUUUUUAAAUUUUUUAAAAAUUUUAAAAUAGAAUGACAUAAUCUUCCUCUUUUAGCAGUUCUUUUGUCCUUAUAACACUUUGGAACCAAAAUGAAAAGACAUGCAAUAUGAUGUGUGAGUGGUGAAGUAACAUGGCGACAUUACUCAUAACAAUGCAUAUUUAAUGGGAUCAGGAUAUCAAGAAUCUCAUCCAAUCCAAAACUAUUUAGGCAAAUCAACUGGAAAAGAAACAAAUCCACAUAUAGACGACAGUUAUUUAUUUCCAGGAAGUAUUAGGUGAAAUUGCCAUAAAUAGAUAGUUUGCAUUUCCAAUCAAAGAUAAUCAUGGUGUUAAUAUGUUAGUGAUAGGUCAAAUGUUAGCAAACCUUUUUAUCAAUAAACAGGAGCAAAUCAGCACUUCAGUUUCCUGUUUACCACUUUCUUUCUAAGACUAUGUUAUAUAAGUUGUUAGAGUUGUUAAUACUUCAGUUUAUUUCUGACUAGUAGUAAUGUUAUUCUUGUUAUGUUAUGCAGUCGAUGAUGCUGAAUGAUAGAAUUGGCAGCCUCAGUGCUCUCCAAGUUGCACUAAGGAAGGCAGAGGAAUAUCUGUUGAGUGUCCCUUCGGAAACUCCAUCCUCAGAAUUCAACCACAGGUAAAUUCUGUGGUGUCGAUUUCGGAGUUAUUGAUGAAACUGAUGUCAGCCAAAGAUUUCUUAUACAGCACAAAGUUUGUUAAGUUGUUCAACUGCUUACAUUGUUUCCCACUUGUAUGAUGUUAGAUUUCAAGAGCUUGGCUUAGACCAGGGCUGGGGUGACACAGCUCAGCGUUGUCAUGACACUAUUCAUCUCCUCCUAGAUCUUCUGGAGGCACCUGAUCCAUGUACCUUGGAAAACUUCCUUGCUAUGGUUCCUAUGGUGUUUAAUGUUGUCAUUCUUUCUCCUCAUGGCUACUUUGCCCAAGCUAAUGUUUUGGGGUAUCCUGACACAGGUGGCCAGGUAUAAUUCUAAAAUAAAAUUGUUUUAGAAACAUAUUACAGGAUUCACAGCUCACUUCUUUGACAUACUAUUCUGUAAAUUUGCAUUUGCAGAUUGUUUAUAUUUUGGAUCAAGUUCGUGCUUUGGAGAAUGAGAUGCUACAAAGAAUACAAACGCAAGGUCUUGAUAUUGUACCUCGCAUUCUCAUUGUAAGUUCAAUUUGAUGUCUCAUGGUUUUCAUAUACUGUUAAUUGGUUAUUUGUAGUCUAUAGAAAUUAUGAAGAAUAUCAUGGUGUCAAUUUAGUUGCAAACUUGCAAUAUGAAAGUCUCCACAUUUGUAAUGGUCUUCUCCUGAGACUAUCCUGUGAUCUAAUGCAGGUGACCAGACUGCUACCUGAUGCAGUAGGCACCACUUGUGGUCAGCGUCUUGAGAAGGUCCUUGGGACGGAGCACACUUUCAUCCUUCGUGUUCCAUUUAGAACGGAAAAUGGAAUUAUCCGAAAAUGGAUCUCACGUUUUGAAGUAUGGCCUUACCUGGAGACCUAUGCUGAGGUACAUCUUUCAUUAAGCUUCCUCUCUGCACUUGCUUCCCAUUCAAUACCUUUAUGAAAGAAAAUUUAUAUCGUUUUCCUUUGCGCUGUAGGAUGUUGCACAUGAACUAACAGGAGAAUUGCAAGCCAAGCCAGACCUGAUAAUUGGAAACUACAGUGAUGGAAACCUAGUAGCUUCUUUAUUGGCGCAUAAACUGGGAGUUACUCAGGUUUUGAUACUAGAACAUCGUUGACCCUUGGCUCUACUUAAUAGUGGUUAUUUUUUCAUCUGAAUUUAAUAACCUUUGUUCUUCCACAUGCAGUGCACCAUCGCCCAUGCCCUGGAGAAAACAAAGUAUCCAAAUUCAGAUAUAUACUGGAAGAAGUUUGAGAACCAGUAUCACUUCUCUUGCCAGUUCACAGCUGAUUUAAUUGCAAUGAACCAUGCGGACUUCAUCAUCACGAGUACCUUCCAAGAGAUUGCUGGAAGGUUACUGUUCAUGCCAUUAGUGUUUUAAUGCACUAAUUUUUCGUUCAUAUUAAGAUGAAAAAAAUACUGCUGUGACCCGACUGGUUUCUUUUUAUGUUCUUCUGUUAUUUCAGCAAGGAUACUGUGGGACAGUAUGAAUCUCACACUGCCUUCACUCUUCCUGGGCUCUACCGUGUCGUGCAUGGGAUUGAUGUCUUUGAUCCAAAAUUCAAUAUUGUAUCCCCUGGAGCUGACAUGUCCAUCUACUUCCCGUCCACAGAGCAGUACAAAAGGCUCAC